GAAGGAAACUUUGUGUAAACGUAUUACAUACAUGUAGCUCCCAGAAGAAUAAAAUCACCAUUUUUUCAAGUAAAACGGUCUUUCUUAUAGAGAGUUUUUGCACUAAACUCGGAUGGAUUUUAAAAAAAAAAUUAAAAAAAUUGGCGGUCGGGGACUUUUAUCAGGUCGGGCGGGGACGCUAAACAAGUAAUUUUUUUUAUGUGGCCUUAUGU
This 212-nucleotide long non-coding RNA is filed under the name Paramuricea clavata. The record is from RNAcentral. Lineage: Eukaryota; Metazoa; Cnidaria; Anthozoa; Malacalcyonacea; Plexauridae.